UACGGAGGGGGCCAGCGUUGUUCGGAAUUAUUGGGCGUAAAGGGCGCGUAGGCGGCUUGGUAAGUCCGUUGUGAAAUCCCUCGGCUCAACCGAGGAACUGCACGGGAUACUGGAUGACUUGAGUUCGGGAGAGGGAAGCGGAAUUCCGGGUGUAGCGGUGAAAUGCGUAGAUAUCCGGAGGAACACCGGUGGCGAAGGCGGCUUCCUGGACCGAUCACUGACGCUGAGGCGCGAAAGCUAGGGGAGCAAACGGG
Molecule: ribosomal RNA, 254 nt
Filed under: uncultured bacterium
Lineage: Bacteria
Description: partial 16S ribosomal RNA
Rfam family: Bacterial small subunit ribosomal RNA
Source: RNAcentral